AUCCAGCUGACAAGUCCGAAAUAGGACGAAACGCACGUCAUGGAU
RNAcentral lists this non-coding RNA (45 nucleotides) under Schistosoma mattheei. The record is from RNAcentral. Lineage: Eukaryota; Metazoa; Platyhelminthes; Trematoda; Strigeidida; Schistosomatidae.